Molecule: long non-coding RNA, 2303 nt
Organism: Tigriopus californicus
Lineage: Eukaryota; Metazoa; Arthropoda; Copepoda; Harpacticoida; Harpacticidae
Exons: 4
Source: RefSeq, a predicted model, not a curated record
AAUGUUUUGAUGCCGUCAAAUUUGAUUUGAAUUGAUGUCUACAUGACGGACACGAAGAAUGAAAUAAUUUACCCAUCGUACCCGUCAUAAAGAAAAAAAAAAUUCAAUGCAUUUGCAAUUUUCUCAUUACCACUCGUGUCUCUCAUGUCAAGAUUUAACAAGUCCGUGACAAGUCCGGGCCAGUUCUGCCGACCGCGGAGUCGAUUCAAGUGGCAACACUGUCUCAAAUGCAAGACUUGAUUCUUCCCGCUCUGGCCUUGGACACGGGCCAAGAUGGAGAUCCUUGGGAUGGGCCAAGAAUCAAGGGGCCCGAAAAACACCUUGAACACAAAAAAAGCACCUCAAGACAGAUGAGAGGUGUAAGAAUUUACAACAGCCAUAUCAUUUUCAAUGAUCCGAGGAUCUCCGAGGCCUCCUUCCCAUUCAUGGUCCCAAUUAGUCUUGUCGGGAGUCAGACAUCAGGCGUGAUUUGUGCAUCAAUCAUCACUCGAAAAUCCCGCCGAGGUCUUCCCAGGUGGUGAAUGGAACGCUCAAUUACAACCAAAGUACAACUGGUGCGAUUAGUGUUGGCUUGCCAGGAGAACGAACAUGGGUAACUUCUCCCUAAGUGAAUUUUCGCAAAGUGUCAUUAGUCCGGAUUUCCUUCGGCGAUAGUGCUCUACUUUGGAUCCGCCUGUAUUUUUACAACAAAGAUGACAGUGGAACACAAGUCCCGAAAGAGUCAAAAUAUACCUAUGCCAAGAAGGGCAGAGCUAUAAUUUGCGAAAAAUAUUUGCCAAGUGAAGAGUAGGCAUAAGCAAUUACAUCAUCAUCGUCAUCAUCAUUAUCAUCAUCGUGAUCGUCGUCUUCUUCAUCAUCAUCAUGAAAGCUGGAAAAUGGAGUGGAAUUUAAUUACCUUAAUGGAUAAAACCAUACUCAAAGGGUGGAAGCGAUACCGAAUUCCAAACGAGUGUACGUACGAGCCUCGAUGAGCCUGAAGUCCACUUGUCCAUGUACAUAUACGUACAUAAAUACGAGGAAACUAAUCCACUACGGUUGUUGUCAUUCAUGAUUCGGCUUGCUUUAAGACGAGUUCCCAAGAAUCAUCACGAGAGACUGAGGGAGUCGCUUUGAUGGGGACAAGCCGGAUCCUCUAACCGCCACAACACACCGACCGCUGUUGUUUGCGUAUUUAUCGAGCACUUUUAAUGAUGAAUUCACUUCCUCUCGAUUCCAUCCAAAGAUGUUCAGAGAGACAAAUCAAAUCCGAAACCCCCGCGGGAUCCCAGGCUCCAACCACAAAACGCGUGAUGAUUCCACGGCUCGUUUCCAAGAGCAACCACCUUCACCUCGAGUUUUGAGAGUGCGGGAAUGAAGUCGAUGCGUGGGAAAUUCCGGUCGUUUAUAGCUCCACAGAACUGGUCUUUUAUACAAUCUUUCACCCAAGAAAAUGACACGGUUCCAAUUGUGUAUUGCUCGUGAUAUCAGCGAUGGGGAGUAACAAUUGCUCUCUUUGAACACUGCGUGUACACGUAGACCAUGGCUUGGUGUCCCCAAGUUCAUGGGAUCGGGCAGACAAGCUUGAUCCAGAUCCAGUGUGAGGAAUGACUUAUGAAGUACGCCACUUGCCAGAUUUGAGCAGUCACUCUCGCUUGGGCUUUGAUGUCUCUCCUUAUUUAUGGAGCAAUAACUGAGCUUGAGCGUCCACGGACGAGCCUUGACAAGUAUUGAAAAUGUGCAUUCGUUGUCGAUAAAGAACAGAUUUCGGUCUCUGCAUACUCGGACGCUAAAAGGUCGGUUGGAGCAGAGUAGAUGCGGGUAAUUUCUAGACCUUCGCAAUGUCUUCGGAUGCCUCUGAACAUCAGCUUGCCGAUCCCAUUGAGUAAGUGCGUGCAUAAGUACUUGGUAAGUAAGUAAGUACAGUAAGUACGUAAGUGACUGAUUACCUGCAUGGAGGAAGCACCUUUGAAAGAUGCCGAUUCCCAUUGAAAGGCGAUAACAUGUUUGCUCAUAAAAAUAGAUGAAAAUGUUUGGCUUCCAUAAAAAAAAACACGAGUCGAGAAGUGGGUCUCCUUGUUCUUCUCGUUUCAAUUCCUAAUGAGAGGCUGACUGGCUGGCUGGCUGGGCCGCUAUGUACAUGACUCGCUGGCAUCACGAGGUUCAACGCCUGGCACCGGAAAACAUGGGCAAUAAAAAUGCGAAAGUGCUCGGCAUAGCAGACACAACAAGAGAAAUGAUAUGAUUAAUGGCCUGGAAGACGGGUGCAUGCAAUUCAAGCAAACAAAACCAUAUUGAAUCGGAAUGAUUCUUCUUAUCGUGAUGCC